This 432-nucleotide small RNA is filed under the name Arabidopsis thaliana (thale cress). RNAcentral's name for it is "ATSL055500". Lineage: Eukaryota; Viridiplantae; Streptophyta; Magnoliopsida; Brassicales; Brassicaceae. The record is from RNAcentral.
UUGUUGUCAUUCGAAAUUAAUUAGAGCUCAAAUGAGUCAUUCCUGAGGAAUGUUGUUUACAUAAAUGAUAUGAUGCAGUUGGACACGAAUCUUUCGAGCCAAGUUAUUUGCUUUAAUAUUUGCACUAUAAGAAAUUAAAGAUAAAAAAAAGCUUGUAAACUCUUUCUUGUCGCUCUGCAAUUCUUCCAAGAUUACUGAGAAAGCCGAUCAUUCGGUUGGGGAAGACACCAUCUUCACCAAAUCUAAACAGUCUGUGAAAAACGCCACAUCUUAAUUAUCAACAUUAAUCAUACAUUUUAUUGUCCAUAGGAGGGCUUCCACUUCUACAUAUAGAGAGAAUAGGUUUCGUCUGAGGUUUGCAACUUCCAAUAUUGGUGUCUCUCCAUUCAAGCAACUCACCACUAUGGUCAAAUUUGUAAAUUUGUGAUAACU